ACUUUUAUUAGCUGUGGGAUCAUAGUUAAACCUCAAUUUCCUUAUCUGUAAAAUGGAGAAAAUAAUAGUACCUAUCUCAGAAGGUCUUUGGGAGGAUUAAAUUAAGAUAAUAAAGGUCAACUCUUGCUCAACACUGUCCUGUCCAUAAACGUAUGCAAUAGUGUUGCUGAAUAGGAAAUAAAAGCUGGUGGGACCCAAGGUCCCCUAGGGAGACAGUAGGAGCUGGGCGCUGCUCCAAAGUCUGGAGGCCCAUUCUAUGCUCUGUUGGUCUCCUGAAGGGACUCAGUGAAUUCUUGGAGGAGACACCUUGCAACACGUUCCUGUGCAAAUCCUGCAGGAAAUCUAGGGGUUCUCCCUGGACUUGGUUGGCUUUAACCCCUUCUCCUGGCCUCGUGUAUGCCCCAUAUCAGGAGAGAGGACAGCUUCAGUAAAUGUACUAGGAUCCAGAGAGGGUCAGAGAGGAGGGAGAAGGCUGUGCUAAACAAGGUGCUGGCAGUGUCAGGAGUUGGCCUCCUGCCCUCUGGGUUGAGAGAUAUCGAAUGCUGCUUUGCCAAGAGCUGCUUUCUUGGGC
This 571-nucleotide small RNA is filed under the name Pongo abelii (Sumatran orangutan). Its description in RNAcentral is "processed transcript". The record is from RNAcentral. Lineage: Eukaryota; Metazoa; Chordata; Mammalia; Primates; Hominidae.